GUCAUGCCAUGCUUAAUAAAAAAAUAACUUUCACAUACUACGGGACAGAGUACUUCAGUAGAACCCUAAUCCCAACACUAACAUCUCGACUCUUUUAUUCCAACAGAACUGGCGCCUAGAGAGCAAAGCUCGACCAGGGUCCUUAACUCCAGUUCGGUCACUUAAUUAUCACUAUCAGUCUUAGCCUUUCGGCUCUCUUACUCCAAUAAGACUGGCGCCUAGAGAGCGAAGCUCGACCAGGAUCC
This 245-nucleotide long non-coding RNA is filed under the name Ricinus communis (castor bean). Its description in RNAcentral is "long non-coding RNA (RCOM_LNC001264)". Lineage: Eukaryota; Viridiplantae; Streptophyta; Magnoliopsida; Malpighiales; Euphorbiaceae. The record is from RNAcentral.